GGACCGGAGGGCGUCGAGGCUAUUCCUGGGGUAGGGGUGAAAUCCUAAAAUCCCAGGAGGAGCACCAGUGGCGAAAGCGCUCGGCGACGACGGGUCCGACGGUGAGGGACAAAAGCUAGGGGAGCAAAAGGGAUUAGAUACCCCCGUAGUCCUAGCCGUAAACGAUGCCCGCUUGAUGUCAGGAAUCCUCCGAGGAUUCCUGGUGCCAAAGGAAAACCGUUAAGCGGGCCGCCUGGGUAGUACGAUCGCAAGGUUGAAACUUAAAGGAAUUGACGGGGGAGCACCACAAGCGGUGGAGGCUGCGGUUUAAUUAGAUCCAACGCAGCGAACCCUACCAGAGCCGACAGCACAAUGAUGGUCAGCUUGAAGAGCUUACCUGAGGAGCUGAGAGGUGUUGCAUGGCCGACGUCAGCUCGUGCCGUGAGGUGUCCUCUUAAGUGAGGUAACGAGCGAGACCCGUGUCCUAUGUUGCUACGGUUCUCUCCGGAGAUCCGGCACUCAUAGGAGACCGCUGAUGAUAAAUCAGGGGAAGGAACGGGCGACGUUAGGUCAGUAUGGCCCGAACGCUCUGGGAUACACGCGGCCUACAAUGGCCGGGACAAAGGGAUGCAACUCCGAGAGGAGGCGCUAAACCCCUAAACCCGGUCCUGGUUCGGAUCGAGGACUGCAACUCGUCCUCGUGAAGGCGAAAUCGCUAGUAGUCGCUAGUCAUCAUCUAGCGGCGAAUA
RNAcentral lists this ribosomal RNA (728 nucleotides) under uncultured euryarchaeote. RNAcentral describes it as "bacterial SSU rRNA". It matches the Rfam family "Archaeal small subunit ribosomal RNA", at positions 596 to 1324 of the family's 1478-position model. Lineage: Archaea; Methanobacteriati; Methanobacteriota. The record is from RNAcentral.